UGCCCAGCAACUCCUAUCCCUACCUCCUUGUGGUACUGGCCGGGGUACGAGUAACCUUGGGGAAGAUCGGGUAGCCAACCCCCGGUGGGAACUUUGGUCGUAUGCUGACAGGGAAGG
RNAcentral lists this ribozyme (117 nucleotides) under Aedes aegypti (yellow fever mosquito). RNAcentral's name for it is "drz-agam-1 ribozyme". It matches the Rfam family "drz-agam-1 ribozyme". The record is from Rfam by way of RNAcentral. Lineage: Eukaryota; Metazoa; Arthropoda; Insecta; Diptera; Culicidae.